This 67-nucleotide transfer RNA is filed under the name Hydraena sp. IBE AF202. RNAcentral describes it as "transfer RNA-Leu". The record is from RNAcentral. Lineage: Eukaryota; Metazoa; Arthropoda; Insecta; Coleoptera; Hydraenidae.
UUAUUAUUAUUUUGGCAGAAUAGUGCAUUAAAUUUAGAAUUUAAAUAUGUAAUUUUACAAAUAAUAC